This 435-nucleotide ribosomal RNA is filed under the name uncultured bacterium. Its description in RNAcentral is "partial 16S ribosomal RNA". It matches the Rfam family "Bacterial small subunit ribosomal RNA", at positions 28 to 507 of the family's 1533-position model. The record is from RNAcentral.
GAUGAACGCUGGCGGUAUGCUUAACACAUGCAAGUCGAACGGACUCUUCGGAGUUAGUGGCGGACGGGUGAGUAACGCGUGAGAAUCUGGCUUUGGGUUCGGGACAACCACUGGAAACGGUGGCUAAUACCGGAUGUGCCGAGAGGUAAAAGAGAAAUUGCCUGAAGAUGAGCUCGCGUCUGAUUAGCUAGUUGGUGAGGUAAAGGCUCACCAAGGCAGCGAUCAGUAGCUGGUCUGAGAGGAUGACCAGCCACACUGGGACUGAGACACGGCCCAGACUCCUACGGGAGGCAGCAGUGGGGAAUUUUCCGCAAUGGGCGAAAGCCUGACGGAGCAAUACCGCGUGAUGGAAGAAGGCUCUUGGUGUGUAAACCUCUUUUCUUAGGGAAGAACAAAAUGACGGUACCUAAGGAAUCAGCAUCGGCUAACUCCGUG